UGAGACAAGACUAUACCUUGUUCUGUAUGC
Molecule: non-coding RNA, 30 nt
Filed under: Rattus norvegicus (Norway rat)
Lineage: Eukaryota; Metazoa; Chordata; Mammalia; Rodentia; Muridae
Source: RNAcentral